Molecule: long non-coding RNA, 142 nt
Organism: Dipodomys spectabilis (banner-tailed kangaroo rat)
Lineage: Eukaryota; Metazoa; Chordata; Mammalia; Rodentia; Heteromyidae
Exons: 3
Source: RefSeq, a predicted model, not a curated record
AAAGGCCUUUAGCAUGGCCAUGUGCCCCAGGGCCAAGAGGCUGCCCAGAGCUCCCAGACUGUGGAGGAAACACUGUCCUCCCCCAGUCCUGUAAUGCCAAGUAAUAUGCAGUUGGUUCCUGUUGUUGAGGCCCCCAGUAAUC